RNAcentral lists this small nucleolar RNA (107 nucleotides) under Gossypium barbadense (sea-island cotton). RNAcentral's name for it is "Plant small nucleolar RNA R71". It matches the Rfam family "Plant small nucleolar RNA R71". From Rfam's summary of the family: R71 is a member of the C/D box family of snoRNAs containing the C (UGAUGA) and D (CUGA) box motifs. Multiple nearly identical copies of this snoRNA have been identified in Arabidopsis, and it is thought to function as a 2'-O-ribose methylation guide for 18S ribosomal RNA. Lineage: Eukaryota; Viridiplantae; Streptophyta; Magnoliopsida; Malvales; Malvaceae. The record is from Rfam by way of RNAcentral. RNAcentral also lists the same sequence under 1 other name.
AUACUAUGGUGUGGGCAUUUCCUAAGUAGCGACUUGAAGUGAUCCCAAGCUUCGCAUAAAUUUUCACCUUCGAAUUGGUUAAAAUUAGAAUUAUCAUGCCUCAAUUG